UCACCAGAGUCUAACAGUACCACAAAGAAAGAUUCAACCAGCACCACGACGACAACGCAGCUUCCGGUUCUAGACGAUGUCGACUAUGAGGAGGAGAAAGAAGCCGCGGACAAAAAUGCGCAGGCGGCCGUCGCUACCGGCGCCACAAUCGUUGGUGUCGUCGGGUUGACUGUGGUCGGCAUCAGCAUCGCGGCUUCAGUAGCUGCCACCCAGGCAGCGGUGGUCUUAGCGCCAGCCACUGUCGCCGCCACUACUACAGCCGCGACGGCGUUUGGCGGGAUAACGGGAGUUACGGGCGCAAAUCUCGGCGCGUCGCUGACCGUACCGAUGGGUAUGUCAGUGGUCUGACGGGACGCGGCUAAAUUCGGCCGAGGAUUAACUCGGAUGACUGUAGCUGUUAAUAGAGCUUUUGAACUGAAUAAUAUAAUAUUGUGAAGAUUCAUUUAUUAAAAUGUUAUGCACUUUAAAAAAAAGUAAAUUGGAGUGUAGCUAGUAAAUAAAUUAUGUCCGGUGAUUCUUCUUCUUUUUUUUCAAUCAAGGCUGUAUCAUAGAAAAUGUAUUAUGUUAAUAAUAUUUGCCUUUAUAUCAGUAUCCUUCAUAAAUUCUACUUCUAUUAUUAUGGUUAUUAUUAUCAAUAGUUUUAAUUCGUAUAAGUAUUGUUGUUAUUGUUGUUGUUGUUGUUAUUGUUGUUGUUGUUGUUAAUAUCAUUAUAUUAUACUAUAAUUAUCGCUUUAAAAUUGUUAUUCUACAAAAAUGUUCGCUUCUUCAUUGAAGAGAUGUAGCAACGUGUUGUUAAACUUAACUGUUGAAACGAAUUUGUAUUGCUUAUUUUAUUGUUAUUGCAAUCAUUUGUUUUAUUGUUUCGAAAAUGUGUCCAAGCUCGUGUGUGUUAGAAUGUCGUAAGCAUUUCUAUUCAUAAAUCUUGCUUUUAUCGUGCAAGUGCAUUGGCUCACCUAUUUGUGUACAAUGUCUCUUUUGUUUAAUUAAGUCCAACUAUCAUAUCUAUAUUUUGGAAGAUGCAGUUAUUCAGAUUUGUUUUAAACACCUUUUCAAUUAUAAACACAUUUUUGAACAGUCUUGAAUGUACGAAAAGCGGAAAAGUAACAUAUCGUAUUUUAAGUAUUUUUCUUUCAACACUUGUUUACAGAUUCCCUUGCAAUGUAAAACCAUUAAAUAUAGGGAACAA
Molecule: long non-coding RNA, 1186 nt
Organism: Dreissena polymorpha
Lineage: Eukaryota; Metazoa; Mollusca; Bivalvia; Myida; Dreissenidae
Exons: 2
Source: RefSeq, a predicted model, not a curated record